CUACGGGACGCUGCAGUGGGGAAUAUUGCACAAUGGAGGAAACUCUGAUGCAGCAACGCCGCGUGGAGGAUGACGCAUUUCGGUGUGUAAACUCCUUUUAUAUGGGAAGAUAAUGACGGUACCAUAUGAAUAAGCACCGGCUAACUCCGUGCCAGCAGCCGCGGUAAUACGGAGGGUGCAAGCGUUACUCGGAAUCACUGGGCGUAAAGCGCGCGCAGGCGGCUAGAUAAGUUGGAAGUGAAAUCCUAUGGCUCAACCAUAGAAUUGCUUCCAAAACUGUUUAGCUAGAGUCUGGGAGGGGAAGAUGGAAUUAGUAGUGUAGGGGUAAAAUCCGUAGAGAUUACUAGGAAUACCAAAAGCGAAGGCGAUCUUCUGGAACAGUACUGACGCUGAGGCGCGAAAGCGUGAGGAGCAAACAGGAUUAGAUACCCCCGUAGUC
Molecule: ribosomal RNA, 439 nt
Filed under: uncultured bacterium
Lineage: Bacteria
Description: partial 16S ribosomal RNA
Rfam family: Bacterial small subunit ribosomal RNA
Source: RNAcentral